AGCUUGCUGUUUCGCUGACGAGUGGCGGACGGGUGAGUAAUGUCUGGGAAACUGCCUGAUGGAGGGGGAUAACUACUGGAAACGGUAGCUAAUACCGCAUAACGUCGCAAGACCAAAGAGGGGGACCUUCGGGCCUCUUGCCAUCAGAUGUGCCCAGAUGGGAUUAGCUAGUAGGUGGGGUAACGGCUCACCUAGGCGACGAUCCCUAGCUGGUCUGAGAGGAUGACCAGCCACACUGGAACUGAGACACGGUCCAGACUCCUACGGGAGGCAGCAGUGGGGAAUAUUGCACAAUGGGCGCAAGCCUGAUGCAGCCAUGCCGCGUGUAUGAAGAAGGCCUUCGGGUUGUAAAGUACUUUCAGCGGGGAGGAAGGGAGUAAAGUUAAUACCUUUGCUCAUUGACGUUACCCGCAGAAGAAGCACCGGCUAACUCCGUGCCAGCAGCCGCGGUAAUACGGAGGGUGCAAGCGUUAAUCGGAAUUACUGGGCGUAAAGCGCACGCAGGCGGUUUGUUAAGUCAGAUGUGAAAUCCCCGGGCUCAACCUGGGAACUGCAUCUGAUACUGGCAAGCUUGAGUCUCGUAGAGGGGGGUAGAAUUCCAGGUGUAGCGGUGAAAUGCGUAGAGAUCUGGAGAAAUACCGGUGGCGAAGGCGGCCCCCUGGACGAAGACUGACGCUCAGGUGCGAAAGCGUGGGGAGCAAACAGGAUUAGAUACCCUGGUAGUCCACGCCGUAAACGAUGUCGACUUGGAGGUUGUGCCCUUGAGGCGUGGCUUCCGGAGCUAACGCGUUAAGUCGACCGCCUGGGGAGUACGGCCGCAAGGUUAAAACUCAAAUGAAUUGACGGGGGCCCGCACAAGCGGUGGAGCAUGUGGUUUAAUUCGAUGCAACGCGAAGAACCUUACCUGGUCUUGACAUCCACGGAAGUUUUCAGAGAUGAGAAUGUGCCUUCGGGAACCGUGAGACAGGUGCUGCAUGGCUGUCGUCAGCUCGUGUUGUGAAAUGUUGGGUUAAGUCCCGCAACGAGCGCAACCCUUAUCCUUUGUUGCCAGCGGUCCGGCCGGGAACUCAAAGGAGACUGCCAGUGAUAAACUGGAGGAAGGUGGGGAUGACGUCAAGUCAUCAUGGCCCUUACGACCAGGGCUACACACGUGCUACAAUGGCGCAUACAAAGAGAAGCGACCUCGCGAGAGCAAGCGGACCUCAUAAAGUGCGUCGUAGUCCGGAUUGGAGUCUGCAACUCGACUCCAUGAAGUCGGAAUCGCUAGUAAUCGUGGAUCAGAAUGCCACGGUGAAUACGUUCCCGGGCCUUGUACACACCGCCCGUCACACCAUGGGAGUGGGUUGCAAAAGAAGUAGGUAGCUUAACCUUCGGGAGGGCGCUUACCACUUUGUGAUUCAUGACUGGGGUGAAGUCGUAACAAGGUAACCGUAGGGGAACCUGCGGUUG
This 1449-nucleotide ribosomal RNA is filed under the name metagenome. RNAcentral's name for it is "bacterial SSU rRNA". It matches the Rfam family "Bacterial small subunit ribosomal RNA". The record is from RNAcentral.